RNAcentral lists this ribosomal RNA (510 nucleotides) under uncultured Glomus. RNAcentral describes it as "SSU rRNA". It matches the Rfam family "Eukaryotic small subunit ribosomal RNA", at positions 569 to 1082 of the family's 1831-position model. Lineage: Eukaryota; Fungi; Glomeromycota; Glomeromycetes; Glomerales; Glomeraceae. The record is from RNAcentral.
AGCAGCCGCGGUAAUUCCAGCUCCAAUAGCGUAUAUUAAAGUUGUUGCAGUUAAAAAGCUCGUAGUUGAAUUUCGAGACCGGUUUACUGGUCGUGCUUUUGUACGUACUGGUAUUAUUGGUUUCUCCUUUCUGACGAAUCAUAAUGCCAUUAAUUUGGUGUUUUGGGGAAUCAGGACUGUUACUUUGAAAAAAUUAGAGUGUUUAAAGCAGGCUCACGCUUGAAUACAUUAGCAUGGAAUAACGAAAUAGGACGUUUGAUUUUAUUUUGUUGGUUUCUAGGAUCGACGUAAUGAUUAAUAGGGAUAGUUGGGGGCAUUAGUAUUCAAUUGUCAGAGGUGAAAUUCUUGGAUUUAUUGAAGACUAACUACUGCGAAAGCAUUUGCCAGGGAUGUUUUCAUUAAUCAAGAACGAAAGUUAGGGGAUCGAAGACGAUCAGAUACCGUCGUAGUCUUAACCAUAAACUAUGCCGACUAGGGAUCGGAUGAUGUUAAUUUUUAAUGACUCAUUCG